Amblyraja radiata (thorny skate) is the source of this 405-nucleotide long non-coding RNA. RefSeq lists it as uncharacterized. The transcript has 2 exons. Lineage: Eukaryota; Metazoa; Chordata; Chondrichthyes; Rajiformes; Rajidae. The record is from RefSeq and is a predicted model, not a curated record.
CAAUAUGCCAACCCGUAGGGCAAAUUACAUUUUCUCCACAUUUGUGACACGUUGAUCAUUUUCAGCAGCUGACGUUGCAACAGAGACUGGUUCAGAUCACAGUUGUUUUAUUCAACAAGAUCAGACCUUCUCUACUCUGGCCCGUUCACCUUUGAGACUCUCUGCUCCAACGUCAUUUUCAUUGGUUUAUGCUGGAGUACACAACCAUGGCUACCAGCAACCGAGGAAUGGCCCAGGUAUCAGGUUGUUACAGAGCAUUGGCCAGAGUGACUACCCCAGCCCUAUACAUCCCUCACUGCUGUCCACACACACGAUCACUGCUCUUGUAGAAGUCCCAAACACUGUUGAAGGUGUAUAAUUCAUUAAUACAUUAAACCAAGCCACCUGCUAGUAUCUGAAACUUAA